UCGACGGGUAUUUGCAAAGGCGACAAAAUUAUUUGUAUUUGUCUGAAGAAGAAUGUAUUUACCUUCCCAGUCCCAGAACCAAUCAUGUCAAUUUGUGGCUCAAACCACCACAGUUUGUGUACAGUACAGGCCACCCUCCUUGGCCCUGAGAUGCAAGUCCAUAAUGUGAGCCAGUUUGAAGAUGGACCUUCUGAUGCAAGAGUUGGGACUUAACCAGGAAAAAUUGAUUUGACCUGAUCUGGAAUUCAUCAUGCUCAGUCUUCCUUGGUUUCUCCUCCCACUGUGGAUGUUGGCACAUGUGAAGCCAGUUAGGAGAGGCGAUUAGUGAUGCGUCUACUACCUGCAAGUCUCUUCCACAGGAGAGCUGGGCUAAGCUUACAGAGAGAAUUAUUUUGGGGCCAAGCUGUGGAGCAAUGAAGAUGACAAGGCUUGAGAAAAAUCUCCUGUUGAAUCUGGAGCUCACCAGUUUGGCAAAACUGGCUGGCCACUGAGUGCCCAGGAUCUCCUAUCUCUGCCCCCAGCUCUGGGGUUGCAGAUACCCAUCAUCACAUGCGGAUUCUACGUGGGUGCUAGGGAUUUGAACUCAGGUCAUCAUGCUUGCAUGGCAAGCUCUUCACUGACUAAGCCCUCUCCCCAACUUAAGUGAAAACCCCCCAUUAAGCCAAGAAACAGGAAGAUCUCAAACUGAAAACAGAAAGACAGUUGAUACAAACAUGGCCAG
Long non-coding RNA from Peromyscus eremicus (cactus mouse), 721 nucleotides. RefSeq lists it as uncharacterized. The record is from RefSeq and is a predicted model, not a curated record. Lineage: Eukaryota; Metazoa; Chordata; Mammalia; Rodentia; Cricetidae. The transcript is spliced from 5 exons.